This 363-nucleotide transfer-messenger RNA is filed under the name Escherichia coli. It matches the Rfam family "transfer-messenger RNA". From Rfam's summary of the family: Bacterial tmRNA, also known as 10Sa RNA or SsrA, is named for its dual tRNA and mRNA-like properties. The record is from RNAcentral. Lineage: Bacteria; Pseudomonadati; Pseudomonadota; Gammaproteobacteria; Enterobacterales; Enterobacteriaceae.
GGGGCUGAUUCUGGAUUCGACGGGAUUUGCGAAACCCAAGGUGCAUGCCGAGGGGCGGUUGGCCUCGUAAAAAGCCGCAAAAAAUAGUCGCAAACGACGAAAACUACGCUUUAGCAGCUUAAUAACCUGCUUAGAGCCCUCUCUCCCUAGCCUCCGCUCUUAGGACGGGGAUCAAGAGAGGUCAAACCCAAAAGAGAUCGCGUGGAAGCCCUGCCUGGGGUUGAAGCGUUAAAACUUAAUCAGGCUAGUUUGUUAGUGGCGUGUCCGUCCGCAGCUGGCAAGCGAAUAUAAAGACUGACUAAGCAUGUAGUACCGAGGAUGUAGAAAUUUCGGACGCGGGUUCAACUCCCGCCAGCUCCACCA